This is a long non-coding RNA of Siniperca chuatsi (mandarin fish), 374 nucleotides long. RefSeq lists it as uncharacterized. NCBI's taxonomy places the organism in Eukaryota, Metazoa, Chordata, Actinopteri, Centrarchiformes, Sinipercidae. The transcript is spliced from 3 exons. The record is from RefSeq and is a predicted model, not a curated record.
UCCCAAAGAUGGUUUCUGUCAUUUUAGGUACGGGAACUGUACGUAGAUCAGGAACGUCGAGAGGAGAUUUAACUUUAACUUUACAUAUAACCACGAUUGUCUGUUUCAAACCAACAAAAUGAAACGAUUAUUCUGCAGUAAACUGUACUAACCGACCUGAGGGAUCUUUGCAGUUUUUUCGAGACAGGAUUGGUCAGGACCUCCAAAUGACAUCCUGCAUUUUUCUACACUUCAGACAGGGCAGCUUGCUCCACUCUCUCGGAGCCUGCGGGGAGAGGCAGCAGAGUCUUGCCUUGAACUUGGCCCGACACCACAAACACAUUGGUCUUGAGGGAGUGGACGUGGCGUCUGAUGUCCAGAGACACUACCUGCGG